Molecule: long non-coding RNA, 440 nt
Organism: Symsagittifera roscoffensis
Lineage: Eukaryota; Metazoa; Xenacoelomorpha; Acoela; Convolutidae
Exons: 3
Source: RefSeq, a predicted model, not a curated record
GUACAUUAAUGCUAGUUACAUUCCCGGCCCAAGAAACCAUAAUAAACAGGAAUAUAUCAUUACCCAAGACCCUAUGACAUCUACUGUUAACGAUUUCCUUCACGUGAUAUACGACCAAAUCAUACUUAUAGUAGUCCGAAUUUACACUGAGGAAGAGGAAAACCUGAUGCUGACUGGUCAAAACAAGAAUAAAAAUGACCCAAAAGCGUCUUUUAAAUACUACCCCGACUUCCAAGAGGAAGAUGAGUAUAUAGUAGUCGAGGAUUUUCAUAUUCGGAAUAAGUCUUGGCAGCGAGUAGGGGAGAAUUGUCGUGAACUGAUUUUGAAAAAGCGUGAUAACUUCGCUGUGAAAAGAAGAGUCAUUCAGUUCAAUGUUGAUUUGACAGCGCUGGAGACCAAGAACAUCACCAUCGACUCACUGGAUUUCAUCUUGCACCAGA